UUUCAAACCCAAUUUCAUUCAAAUAAAUAGAUUUAAAGAGGUAAUGGCCUUAGGGUCCGAAUGAAUAGAGGUUUUUACAACAAUUAAGCGUGAAAGUUUUUCGAGGUAUUACAUUCUCCCCCACCUUUAAAAAAUUUGGUCCUCCAAAUUUAUUACAAAUGGAUGUGGAAAAUUUCUCUCCCUUUUCUUUCUCCAUUUUCCACAUUGCCUCUUCUGGAGUGUAGUGCUGCCACUACACCUUC
Molecule: long non-coding RNA, 242 nt
Filed under: Carica papaya (papaya)
Lineage: Eukaryota; Viridiplantae; Streptophyta; Magnoliopsida; Brassicales; Caricaceae
Description: long non-coding RNA (CPAP_LNC010958)
Source: RNAcentral